RNAcentral lists this unclassified non-coding RNA (339 nucleotides) under soil metagenome. RNAcentral describes it as "partial contains 5.8S ribosomal RNA, internal transcribed spacer 2, and large subunit ribosomal RNA". The stretch from base 1 to 120 matches the Rfam family "5.8S ribosomal RNA", at positions 35 to 154 of the family's 154-position model. The record is from RNAcentral.
GAUGAAGAACGUAGCGAAAUGCGAUAAGUAAUGCGAAUUGCAGAAUUCCGUGAGUCAUCGAAUCUUUGAACGCACAUUGCGCCCUCUGGCAUUCCGGAGGGCAUGCCUGUCUGAGCGUCAUUGUCAACCCUCAAGCUCAGCUUGCUGUUGGGUCCCCGUCGUUGCUUUAACGGCGGACCCGAAAGGUAAUGGCAGAGUCCGUGAGACCCUAGACGCAGCGAGCUUCUAGCACGCGUCUGGACGUUUUUCGGGCUCGGUCUUAACUAGAUGAUAACUUCCGAUUGACCUCAGAUCAGGUAGGGAUACCCGCUGAACUUAAGCAUAUCAAUAAGCGGAGGA